ACGUCUUCGAGCCUUCCUUCCUAAGGCGGACGCUAUGGAAGGACGGCCGUGUUAAGCAAUUAACUCAGGGUUCCGCUGGAAACGGUGCAGCCUUCCUGAUUUGAAAAGGAGAC
This 113-nucleotide non-coding RNA is filed under the name pig gut metagenome. Its description in RNAcentral is "Moco (molybdenum cofactor) riboswitch". It matches the Rfam family "Molybdenum/Tungsten riboswitch aptamer (Moco RNA motif)", at positions 11 to 121 of the family's 135-position model. The record is from RNAcentral.